GCCUCUCUCUCUCCGGGCGUUCGACACCAGCUCAGCAUCAGCUGCUUCUUCAGGAAUAAAAACUGAAGCGUUUCCGCGGUAACUGAGCAGUUAAUCAGACAGAGCAGAAAUGUGUCAACAGUCCGUCCUUCUGCCUCUGACGGGCGUUUUCUUCCUGAUCUCCUCAGUGUUUGGCUCAACGUCAG
Long non-coding RNA from Acanthochromis polyacanthus (spiny chromis), 185 nucleotides. RefSeq lists it as uncharacterized. The record is from RefSeq and is a predicted model, not a curated record. The transcript is spliced from 3 exons. NCBI's taxonomy places the organism in Eukaryota, Metazoa, Chordata, Actinopteri, Pomacentridae.